AGAUUCAUACUCGUACCUUUUGCAUCAUGAGUUAGCCAGAAAAUCUCAAGCAAAGAGCACUUUAGUUUGAUUCCCCGAAACUACGUGAGCUACUUCAAGACAGCCUAAAAUAGGGCGAACCCAUCUCUGUAGCAAAAGAGUGGGAUGAGCUUCGAGUAGCGGUGACAGACCUAUCGAACCUAGUUAUAGCUGGUUGCCUGAGAAAUGAAUAGAAGUUCAGCCUUUCGAGUUCUCCCCUCAACCCCGUCUUCACCCCCGGACAACCAAAGAAAUCGAAAGAGUUAGUUAAAGGGGGUACAGCCCCUUUAACACAAGAUACAACUAUCCCAGGAGGGUAGAGAUCACAUUCAAAUUCCAAGGUAAAAUGUUUUGGUGGCCCUAAGAGCAGCCACCCCUAUAGAAUGCGUUAAAGCUCAAAUAUAAUUACCACCCCUAAUCCUGACAACCCCAUCUUAACCCCCUAACCUUACCAGGCCGUCCCAUGCAACCAUGGGAGCGACCAUGCUAAUAUGAGUAAUAAGAGGGCAAAUCCGCCUCUCUCCACGCACAAGUGUAACU
This 558-nucleotide ribosomal RNA is filed under the name Nibea albiflora (white flower croaker). Its description in RNAcentral is "partial 16S ribosomal RNA". It matches the Rfam family "Bacterial large subunit ribosomal RNA", at positions 589 to 1356 of the family's 2925-position model. Lineage: Eukaryota; Metazoa; Chordata; Actinopteri; Sciaenidae. The record is from RNAcentral.